AUUGAACGCUGGCGGCAUGCCUUACACAUGCAAGUCGAACGGUAACAGGUCUUCGGAUGCUGACGAGUGGCGAACGGGUGAGUAAUACAUCGGAACGUGCCCGAUCGUGGGGGAUAACGAAGCGAAAGCUUUGCUAAUACCGCAUAAGAUCUACGGAUAAAAGCGGGGGAUCGCAAGACCUCGCGCGAUUGGAGCGGCCGAUAUCAGAUUAGGUAGUUGGUGGGGUAAAGGCUCACCAAGCCAACGAUCUGUAGCUGGUCUGAGAGGACGACCAGCCACACUGGAACUGAGACACGGUCCAGACUCCUACGGGAGGCAGCAGUGGGGAAUUUUGGACAAUGGACGCAAGUCUGAUCCAGCCAUUCCGCGUGCAGGAUGAAGGCCCUCGGGUUGUAAACUGCUUUUGUACGGAACGAAAAGGUCUCUCUUAAUACGGGGGGCUCAUGACGGUACCGUAAGAAUAAGCACCGGCUAACUACGUGCCAGCAGCCGCGGUAA
RNAcentral lists this ribosomal RNA (498 nucleotides) under uncultured bacterium. RNAcentral describes it as "partial 16S ribosomal RNA". It matches the Rfam family "Bacterial small subunit ribosomal RNA", at positions 30 to 523 of the family's 1533-position model. The record is from RNAcentral.